CUCGGGAGUCGGCGUUGUUACUUUGAAAAAAUUAGAGUGUUCAAAGCAAGCCAUCGCUCUGAAUACAUUAGCAUGGAAUAACAUGAUAGGACUCCGCUCUUAUUUUGUUGGUUUCCGAGACUGGAGUAAUGAUUAAGAGGGACAGUCGGGGGCAUCCGUAUUUCAUUGUCAGAGGUGAAAUUCUUGGAUUUAUGAAAGACGAACUUCUGCGAAAGCAUUUGCCAAGGAUGUUUUCAUUAAUCAAGAACGAAAGUUGGGGGCUCGAAGAUGAUCAGAUACCAUCCUAGUCUCAACCAUAAACGAUGCCUACUAGGGAUUGGCGGAUGUUCCUUAGAUGACUCCGCCAGCACCUUAUGAGAAAUCAUUAAGUUUUUGGGUUCCGGGGGGAGUAUGGUCGCAAGGCUGAAACUUAAAGGAAUUGACGGAAGGGCACCACCAGGCGUUGUUUGCUACAAGCUCUAAGCGCCAGUCAGCGAUUGAUGGACCGCCACUGCCCUUGGCCCAUCGCAAGAUCCGCUGGCUAGUUUUCUCCUUUGACAAAAGCGAGAAAGCGACACUCUCGAAGUGCUGGGAAGCUUUUCGAGCGC
RNAcentral lists this ribosomal RNA (587 nucleotides) under Prasinoderma singulare. Its description in RNAcentral is "SSU rRNA". It matches the Rfam family "Eukaryotic small subunit ribosomal RNA", at positions 735 to 1589 of the family's 1831-position model. Lineage: Eukaryota; Viridiplantae; Prasinodermophyta; Prasinodermophyceae; Prasinodermales; Prasinodermaceae. The record is from RNAcentral.